This 127-nucleotide small RNA is filed under the name Marmota monax (woodchuck). The record is from RNAcentral. Lineage: Eukaryota; Metazoa; Chordata; Mammalia; Rodentia; Sciuridae.
GCCAGGUGCGGUGGCCCACGCCUCUAAUCCCAGCAGCUCAGGAGGCUGAGGCAGGAGGUUUGCAGGUUCAAAGCCGGCCUCAGCAAUUUAGCAAGGCUUUAAGCAACUUAGUGAGACCAUGUCUCAA